CUGGCGGCGUGCUUAACACAUGCAAGUCGAACGCGAAAGGGACUUCGGUCCUGAGUAAAGUGGCGGCACGGGUGAGUAACGCGUAGAUAACCUGUCUUCAUGUCUGGAAUAAUACGCCGAAAGGGGUACUAAUACCGGAUAUUCUUGCUUUUCAUAAGUUAUGCAAGCAAAGGUGGCCUCUGCAUAUGCUACUGCAUGAAGAGGGGUCUGCGUACCAUUAGCUAGUAGGUGGGGUAAUGGCCUACCUAGGCGACGAUGGUUAGCGGGUCUGAGAGAAUGAUCCGCCACACUGGCACUGGAACACGGGCCAGACUCCUACGGGAGGCAGCAGUGAGGAAUAUUGCGCAAUGGGGGAAACCCUGACGCAGCGACGCCGCGUGAAGUGAGGAAGGCCUUCGGGUCGUAAAGCUCUGUCAAGAGGAAAGAAGUGUACAAUGGCUAAUACCUGUUGUAUUUGACGGUACCUCUAAAGGAAGCACCGGCUAACUCCGUGCCAGCCGCAGC
Molecule: ribosomal RNA, 504 nt
Filed under: uncultured bacterium
Lineage: Bacteria
Description: bacterial SSU rRNA
Rfam family: Bacterial small subunit ribosomal RNA
Source: RNAcentral